GGUAGCUAUGUUCGGAAAAGAUAACCGCUGAAAGCAUCUAAGCGGGAAACUUGCCUCAAGAUGAGAUCUCACUGGGUACUUGAUUCCCCUGAAGGGCCGUCGAAGACUACGACGUUGAUAGGCUGGGUGUGUAAGCGUUGUGAGGCGUUGAGCUAACCAGUACUAAUUGCCCGUGAGGCUUGACCAU
Molecule: ribosomal RNA, 187 nt
Filed under: Pseudomonas aeruginosa
Lineage: Bacteria; Pseudomonadati; Pseudomonadota; Gammaproteobacteria; Pseudomonadales; Pseudomonadaceae
Description: partial 23S ribosomal RNA
Rfam family: Bacterial large subunit ribosomal RNA
Source: RNAcentral